RNAcentral lists this ribosomal RNA (253 nucleotides) under uncultured bacterium. Its description in RNAcentral is "partial 16S ribosomal RNA". It matches the Rfam family "Bacterial small subunit ribosomal RNA", at positions 524 to 776 of the family's 1533-position model. The record is from RNAcentral.
UACGUAGGGGGCAAGCGUUGUCCGGAUUUACUGGGCGUAAAGAGCGUGUAGGCGGCCACGCAGGUCCGUUGUGAAAACUGGAGGCUCAACCUCUAGCUGUCGACGGAAACCGUAUGGCUAGAGUCCGGAAGAGGAGAGUGGAAUUCCUGGUGUAGCGGUGAAAUGCGCAGAUAUCAGGAAGAACACCAAUGGCGAAGGCAGCUCUCUGGGACGGUACUGACGCUGAGACGCGAAAGCGUGGGGAGCGAACAGG